UACGGGGGGGGCAAGCGUUGUUCGGAAUCAUUGGGCGUAAAGGGCGCGUAGGCGGUGCCGUAAGUCUGGUGUGAAAUCCCCGAGCUUAACUCGGGUCCCGCGCCAGAGACUGCGGUGCUGGAGUGUGGGAGAGGAGAGUGGAAUUCCCGGUGUAGCGGUGAAAUGCGUAGAGAUCGGGAGGAAGGCCGGUGGCGAAGGCGGCGCUCUGGAACAUUUCUGACGCUGAGGCUCGAAAGCGUGGGGAGCAAACAGG
This 253-nucleotide ribosomal RNA is filed under the name uncultured bacterium. Its description in RNAcentral is "partial 16S ribosomal RNA". It matches the Rfam family "Bacterial small subunit ribosomal RNA", at positions 524 to 776 of the family's 1533-position model. The record is from RNAcentral.